Molecule: ribosomal RNA, 463 nt
Filed under: uncultured bacterium
Lineage: Bacteria
Description: partial 16S ribosomal RNA
Rfam family: Bacterial small subunit ribosomal RNA
Source: RNAcentral
GACGAACGCUGGCGGCGUGCUUAACACAUGCAAGUCGAGCGGAAAGGCCACUUCGGUGGUACUCGAGCGGCGAACGGGUGAGUAACACGUGAGUAAUCUGCCCCUCACUUUGGGAUAGCCACCGGAAACGGUGAUUAAUACCGGCUAUGACCAUAUUUCUCCUGGCGGGUGGUGGAAAGUUUUUCGGUGGGGGAUGGGCUCGCGGCUUAUCAGCUUGAUGGUGAGGUAGUGGCUUACCAUGGCUUUGACGGGUAGCCGGCCUGAGAGGGUGACCGGUCACACUGGGACUGAGAUACGGCCCAGACUCCUACGGGAGGCAGCAGUGGGGAAUAUUGGACAAUGGGCGGAAGCCUGAUGCAGCAACGCCGCGUGCGGGAUGACGGCCUUCGGGUUGUAAACCGCUUUCGGUAGCGACGAAGCGCAAGUGACGGUAGGUACAGAAGAAGCACCGGCUAACUACGUG